Sebastes umbrosus (honeycomb rockfish) is the source of this 402-nucleotide long non-coding RNA. RefSeq lists it as uncharacterized. The record is from RefSeq and is a predicted model, not a curated record. The transcript is spliced from 2 exons. NCBI's taxonomy places the organism in Eukaryota, Metazoa, Chordata, Actinopteri, Perciformes, Sebastidae.
GCUCUGUUCAGCUCACAGUCAUCAUUAUAGUUUUGUUUUCAUCUGCGUUACGAUCAUGAUUAGACUCCUUGUACAUUUAGCAGCUCUGCCGUUCUGUUUAACAGAACUGUCAAAGAACAGUGUUCAUCAGACUCCCACUGCCCUGAUCACACAUCCUGAAGAAGAAGUCCAGAUGAACUGCAGCCAUUCAAACAGUGACUUUGAUAUGAUCCAGUGGUAUAAACGGUCUGCUGGCAAAAAUGAUAUGGUCCUAGUUGGCUAUGUACGAUUCACUUCUUUAGUUGUUGAACCUAAAUUCAUAGAAACUUAUAAUGUGAGUGGUGUUGGGGGAAGUCUGGCAAGUCUUCAUAUUCCAAAGCCGAGUCGAUCCGAGGACGGAGCAGUGUAUUUCUGUGCUGCCAG